AACGAACGCUGGCGGCAUGCCUAACACAUGCAAGUCGAACGAGACCUUCGGGUCUAUUGGCGCACGGGUGCGUAACGCGUGGGAACCUGCCCUUAGGUUCGGCAUAACUCCCCGAAAGGGGUGCUAAUACCGGAUAAUGUCUUCGGACCAAAGAUUUAUCGCCUUUGGAUGGGCCCGCGUUGGAUUAGCUAGUUGGUAGGGUAAAAGCCUACCAAGGCGACGAUCCAUAGCUGGUCUGAGAGGAUGAUCAGCCACACUGGGACUGAGACACGGCCCAGACUCCUACGGGAUGCAGCAGUGGGGAAUAUUGGACAACGGGCGAAAGGCUGAUCCAGCAAUGACGCGUGAGUGAUGAAGGCAUUAGGGUUGUAAAGCGCUUUUAACCGGGAUGAUAAUGACAGUACCGGGAGAAUAAGCUCCGGCUAACUACGUG
Molecule: ribosomal RNA, 433 nt
Filed under: uncultured bacterium
Lineage: Bacteria
Description: partial 16S ribosomal RNA
Rfam family: Bacterial small subunit ribosomal RNA
Source: RNAcentral